AUGGCAUACGAUGAGGACCGAGCAAUGACAACUCGGACACGGGGUUUCGCGGGUUAUUACUGUACUUGGCGUUUGGUGCGGUACUUGGUUGUGCUCAUGACCAAGCUCAUGGGCGGACGCUACAUGCCCAAGUGCGGGUGCAUGAAGCAAAUGAGUGGGACGACGUGCGUUGGGAACGCGGUCAACGACGUAGUUGGCUCGGGUGGGUGCUCAUCAACAGGCAGCGAAGCGAGCUGCUACUCGAUGAAGGCGGCGGUGCGAACGUACGCGAAGCUCCGCGAGGACGGCCGAGGUUGGGAGCCUAGAAGGACUAACAAAGAAGGUCCAAUGGGGUGGUGGGGUCCCAAAUCCAGGCGCGAUGGAGGUGGAGGAGGCAGGAGUGCGUUGGGGUGGCCUGAAGGUCGAGGUCGCCAGUGGGUUCGCAGGAUGUAG
RNAcentral lists this ribosomal RNA (432 nucleotides) under Triticum aestivum (bread wheat). RNAcentral's name for it is "partial small subunit ribosomal RNA". Lineage: Eukaryota; Viridiplantae; Streptophyta; Magnoliopsida; Poales; Poaceae. The record is from RNAcentral.